CCUACGGGUGGCUGCAGUAGGGAAUAUUGGACAAUGGGUGCGAGCCUGAUCCAGCCAUGCCGCGUGCAGGAAGAAGGCGUUAUGCGUUGUAAACUGCUUUUGCCAGGGGAUAAAAUAACUGUGCGCAGUUGAUUGAAGGUACCUGGUGAAUAAGCCACGGCUAACUACGUGCCAGCAGCCGCGGUAAUACGUAGGUGGCACGGGUGGUCCGGGUGUAAAGGGUUUAAAGGGUGCGUUGUCGGCCAUUGGUGAAAUAUCUCAGCUUAACUGAGAGGGUGCCAUUGAUACUGCGGGGCUUGAGUACAGAUGAGGUAGGCGGAAUUGACGGUGUAGCGGUGAAAUGCAUAGAUAUCGUCAAGAACACCGAUAGCGAAGGCAGCUUACCAAGCUGUAACUGACGCUGAGGCACGAAAGUGUGGGGAUCAAACAGGAUUAGAUACCCGAGUAGUC
This 450-nucleotide ribosomal RNA is filed under the name uncultured bacterium. RNAcentral describes it as "partial 16S ribosomal RNA". It matches the Rfam family "Bacterial small subunit ribosomal RNA", at positions 338 to 795 of the family's 1533-position model. The record is from RNAcentral.